RNAcentral lists this transfer RNA (59 nucleotides) under Ammothea hilgendorfi. RNAcentral describes it as "tRNA-Ser". The record is from RNAcentral. Lineage: Eukaryota; Metazoa; Arthropoda; Pycnogonida; Pantopoda; Ammotheidae.
AAAGUUUCAAAUUUAAGCUUCUAACUUAAAAAUAAGCAAAAUUAUAUUGUUAAACUUUU